This 551-nucleotide long non-coding RNA is filed under the name Rattus norvegicus (Norway rat). RNAcentral describes it as "long non-coding RNA NONRATT033046". The record is from RNAcentral. Lineage: Eukaryota; Metazoa; Chordata; Mammalia; Rodentia; Muridae.
AGCUUGGUUUUAAUGGACUUCAUAGUGGACGGUCGACCAUAUUGUUGGACGACACUUUGAGGCUUCUGGAACCUUUAAGAAGAUCGUGGGCCAGAAGCUGGCACAGGAAUAUCACCUCUUCACGUCUUCUGAGGGUCCACCUCUUGGCUAAGCUACUUGGUUGGUUUCCCAAGACCAGUGAAUUCCUUUGCAUGGCCUUACCAUCUCUUCCAGAGCUCUAUAAGAGGCAGGGCAUGAUUUUCACCAAACACCAGGCAGGUGAUGAAGCAUUCUCUUCGAUCUUUAGUGCUAUGAGCUAAAUAGUGUUUCUCCUCUUUAUUAAUGAUCCAUCCUCUAGUAUGUCAUAAUAAUCACAGGAAAAUAUUAGAAGGUGAAUAAUUCAGAAGCAUAAGAAAUACCACGCAUGUGUGAUGAAAGAGAAUAUAUUCUUGGUGAGUCUGUGAUUUCAACUUUCUGUGUGUCAAAGUAGCAGAAGCCAUUCCAAAAUAUUUCAAUGUGUGUUAUUUUGAUUGUGAUUAUGAAAUUCUGGCUAUCUCUUUAACUCUGUGGAC